UGCGUAGGUGGUGAGGUAAGUCGGAUGUGAAAGCUCCGAGCUCAACUCGGAAAUGGCAUUGGAAACUACCUUGCUCGAGGGUUUGAGGGGGGACUGGAAUACUUGGUGUAGCAGUGAAAUGCGUAGAUAUCAAGUAGAACACCAGUGGCGAAGGCGAGUCCCUGGAAAACUCCUGACACUGAGGCACGAAAGGCUAGGGAGCAAACA
This 207-nucleotide ribosomal RNA is filed under the name uncultured bacterium. Its description in RNAcentral is "partial 16S ribosomal RNA". It matches the Rfam family "Bacterial small subunit ribosomal RNA", at positions 568 to 774 of the family's 1533-position model. The record is from RNAcentral.